Molecule: ribosomal RNA, 967 nt
Filed under: Salmonella enterica subsp. enterica serovar Enteritidis
Lineage: Bacteria; Pseudomonadati; Pseudomonadota; Gammaproteobacteria; Enterobacterales; Enterobacteriaceae
Description: partial 23S ribosomal RNA
Rfam family: Bacterial large subunit ribosomal RNA
Source: RNAcentral
AGACCCGAAACCCGGUGAUCUAGCCAUGGGCAGGUUGAAGGUUGGGUAACACUAACUGGAGGACCGAACCGACUAAUGUUGAAAAAUUAGCGGAUGACCUGUGGCUGGGGGUGAAAGGCCAAUCAAACCGGGAGAUAGCUGGUUCUCCCCGAAAGCUAUUUAGGUAGCGCCUCGUGAACUCAUCUCCGGGGGUAGAGCACUGUUUCGGCUAGGGGGCCAUCCCGGCUUACCAACCCGAUGCAAACUGCGAAUACCGGAGAAUGUUAUCACGGGAGACACACGGCGGGUGCUAACGUCCGUCGUGAAGAGGGAAACAACCCAGACCGCCAGCUAAGGUCCCAAAGUCAUGGUUAAGUGGGAAACGAUGUGGGAAGGCCCAGACAGCCAGGAUGUUGGCUUAGAAGCAGCCAUCAUUUAAAGAAAGCGUAAUAGCUCACUGGUCGAGUCGGCCUGCGCGGAAGAUGUAACGGGGCUAAACCAUGCACCGAAGCUGCGGCAGCGACGCUGAUGCGUUGUUGGGUAGGGGAGCGUUCUGUAAGCCUGCGAAGGUGGCCUGUGAGGGUUGCUGGAGGUAUCAGAAGUGCGAAUGCUGACAUAAGUAACGAUAAAGCGGGUGAAAAGCCCGCUCGCCGGAAGACCAAGGGUUCCUGUCCAACGUUAAUCGGGGCAGGGUGAGUCGACCCCUAAGGCGAGGCCGAAAGGCGUAGUCGAUGGGAAACGGGUUAAUAUUCCCGUACUUGGUGUUACUGCGAAGGGGGGACGGAGAAGGCUAUGUUGGCCGGGCGACGGUUGUCCCGGUUUAAGCGUGUAGGUGUGUGUUCCAGGUAAAUCCGGUUCACUUUAACACUGAGGCGUGAUGACGAGGCACUACGGUGCUGAAGCAACAAAUGCCCUGCUUCCAGGAAAAGCCUCUAAGCAUCAGGUAACACGAAAUCGUACCCCAAACCGACACAGGUGGUCAGGUAGA